AGUGGGUGUGUGGGGUGAAGUCAGCGCUCUUCUGUGGAAAAAAACCAGAGGCAAUUAAUUCACUCAGUGUGACCACGAAUUUUAAUAGAAGAAUUGAUCAAGCCCUAGAUCGACUGCGCGCAGGGAAACUGAUCAAUAUUGUAGGUAUAUUGAGUGUUUGUUUUAGCUUCAUGAUUUUGAAUGGUUUUAUAAAAUUGCUAUUUUAUUGGGUAAUAUUUUAAUUGAUAAUGUUGUUUGUUUUUCAGCUGUGCAGUCUCUGCUGUCCUUUGUUGUUCUUUUGAUUGAUUUGUAAUUUUGUUUUGGUUAGUCCGUCCAGCCGUAGAGGCGGUUAUUGAUUGAGAGUAAGUUUUGUAAGGGCGGACUAACCUCUCUUUUGUUUUGUUUUUUUAUUUAUUUUAAUUGUUUGUGCCACUUCCCUUUAUCUCUCAGAUCACAGGCCAUACAUAGCACUGAUUCCCAGCUGCGCUGAGACCCGAAUUGUUUGCAGUGUGUGCCACGAUUGCAGUGUCGCUAAGCGGGGUGUGACGGGUUUGCAGUGUUAUUUCGCACAGUUUGUGUGGCAAGUCUCGUGUGCAGCUGGGAUAUCAGCAGGAUGCGUUGUAAGUCCUGUCUGGAAACGACUGGGAAUUUGUACUUUUA
This is a long non-coding RNA of Astatotilapia calliptera (eastern happy), 639 nucleotides long. NCBI's taxonomy places the organism in Eukaryota, Metazoa, Chordata, Actinopteri, Cichliformes, Cichlidae. The record is from Ensembl.